RNAcentral lists this transfer RNA (67 nucleotides) under Ictidomys tridecemlineatus (thirteen-lined ground squirrel). RNAcentral describes it as "Spermophilus tridecemlineatus (thirteen-lined ground squirrel) tRNA". It matches the Rfam family "tRNA". Rfam says of the family: Transfer RNA (tRNA) molecules are approximately 80 nucleotides in length. Their secondary structure includes four short double-helical elements and three loops (D, anti-codon, and T loops). Further hydrogen bonds mediate the characteristic L-shaped molecular structure. tRNAs have two regions of fundamental functional importance: the anti-codon, which is responsible for specific mRNA codon recognition, and the 3' end, to which the tRNAs corresponding amino acid is attached (by aminoacyl-tRNA synthetases). tRNAs cope with the degeneracy of the genetic code in two manners: having more than one tRNA (with a specific anti-codon) for a particular amino acid; and 'wobble' base-pairing, i.e. permitting non-standard base-pairing at the 3rd anti-codon position. The record is from Rfam by way of RNAcentral. Lineage: Eukaryota; Metazoa; Chordata; Mammalia; Rodentia; Sciuridae.
GGUUAUAGCUCAGUGGUAUAGCACUUGCCUUGCAUGCAUGAGGCCCUGGGUUCAAUCCUCAGCACCA